CCUAAAACCUAAACCGUAAACCUUAAAUCCUAAAUCCUAAACCCUAAACCCUAAACCCUAAACCCUAAACACUAAACU
RNAcentral lists this small RNA (78 nucleotides) under Arabidopsis thaliana (thale cress). RNAcentral's name for it is "ATSL200590". The record is from RNAcentral. Lineage: Eukaryota; Viridiplantae; Streptophyta; Magnoliopsida; Brassicales; Brassicaceae.